RNAcentral lists this ribosomal RNA (266 nucleotides) under uncultured bacterium. RNAcentral's name for it is "partial 16S ribosomal RNA". It matches the Rfam family "Bacterial small subunit ribosomal RNA", at positions 526 to 779 of the family's 1533-position model. The record is from RNAcentral.
CGUAGGUCCCCGAGCGUUGUCCGGAUUUAUUGGGCGUAAAGACGAGCGCAGGCGGUUAGAUAAGUACUGAAGUUAAAAGGACUGUGGCUUAACCAAUAGUACGCUUUGGAAAACUAGUUUAAACUUGAGUGCAAGAAGGGGAGAGUGGAAUUCCAUGUGUAGCGGUGAAAUAGCGUAGAUAUAUGGAGGAACACCGGUGGCGAAAGACGGCUCUCUGGCUUGUAACUGACGCUGAGGCUCGAAAAGCGUGGGGAGCAAACAGGAUU